Molecule: ribosomal RNA, 334 nt
Filed under: uncultured bacterium
Lineage: Bacteria
Description: partial 16S ribosomal RNA
Rfam family: Bacterial small subunit ribosomal RNA
Source: RNAcentral
CCUACGGGUGGCAGCAGGAGGGAAUAUUGCUCAAUGGGGGAAACCCUGAAGCAGCAACGCCGCGUGGAGGAUGAAGGUUUUCGGAUUGUAAACGCCUUUUGUUAGAGAAGAGAAUGACGGUAUCUAACGAAUAAGCACCGGCUAACUCCGUGCCAGCAGCCGCGGUAAUACGGAUGGUGCAAGCGUUACUCGGAACCACUGGGCGUAAAGAGCGCGUAGGCGGGAUAGCAAGUCAGAUGUGAAAUCCUAUGGCUUAACCAUAGAACUGCAUUUGAAACUGUUAUUCUAGAGUAUGGGAGAGUUAGGUUGUAUUCUUUGUGUCGCUGUCACAUCC